RNAcentral lists this ribosomal RNA (498 nucleotides) under Listeria monocytogenes. Its description in RNAcentral is "partial 23S ribosomal RNA". It matches the Rfam family "Bacterial large subunit ribosomal RNA", at positions 1 to 484 of the family's 2925-position model. The record is from RNAcentral. Lineage: Bacteria; Bacillati; Bacillota; Bacilli; Caryophanales; Listeriaceae.
AGUAAAUUGGUUAAGUUAGAAAGGGCGCACGGUGGAUGCCUUGGCACUAGGAGCCGAAGAAGGACGGGACUAACACCGAUAUGCUUUGGGGAGCUGUACGUAAGCGUUGAUCCAGAGAUUUCCGAAUGGGGGAACCCACUAUCUUUAGUCGGAUAGUAUCCUUACGUGAAUACAUAGCGUGAGGAAGGCAGACCCAGGGAACUGAAACAUCUAAGUACCUGGAGGAAGAGAAAGAAAAAUCGAUUUCCUGAGUAGCGGCGAGCGAAACGGAAAGAGCCCAAACCAAGAAGCUUGCUUCUUGGGGUUGUAGGACACUCUAUACGGAGUUACAAAAGAAAGUUAUAAAUGAAGCGGUCUGGAAAGGCCCGCCAAAGACGGUAACAGCCCGGUAGUUGAAAUAGCUUUCCCUCCAGAGUGGAUCCUGAGUACGGCGGAACACGUGAAAUUCCGUCGGAAUCCGGGAGGACCAUCUCCCAAGGCUAAAUACUCCCUAGUGAC